AUAAUCUACUCAAUUAUCGGUAAUCCACCGGACGGAAGACAGCAAUUAACCCAUCACAGAUGGUGUUUAAGUGAAGCGAUGAAAAAUCAAUUCCCACACACGUGCUGCAUACAGACUGCUGAUUAAAAAGCCCUCUCCUUUCCCUCACCCUCGUGUUCCCCUUUUCCACCCACUCGUUCUUGCUUCUCUCUUGCACACUCAAACACAAGUGACCCCGGUACGAAUGGAGGGCACUCUCUACUUACGAAAACCUAUCAAUCAUCUGCUUCCCCCGUGGUCCCAGUGGAUGCGAGCGGUGUAAGUGAAACGUGAAACGUCCCACUGGGGGGAACAAAAUCCAAUCCACCAGGUCAACCCAGUGAGCCCAGUAUUGGUGAAGGAGACUGAGCCAUUUCUGUGAAAACCAUGCUAGACACUCCCAACGGGACCACUUCCACCACCGCAACCCACUAUCCCGGUGUGAUGAGUUUCCUUAACGCCGCCGGUUCAACCUUUCUCGAUGGCCUCAGCGGCACAGCGGUCAGCAGUGGUGGAGCGUUGCUGCCCGCGGGAAAUUCUUCACCCACCCUCGGCGGAAGCGUGUCGCCACUGGUCAACUACUCGUCGGUGGUUAGUUCCUCGCCGUCACCGGCCACCAUGCUGUCGAGCGGUUCGGCGAACGGUUCGAUGGCACCGCUGCUUACGACGGCCCUGCUGAACGUGAACGGUACGGGGCUAGAGUACGGCGACACGGGCAGCAAUCUGACCCACUCGUUCACCAACUUCGUGCACAAGGAGUUUAUCUUCGACCGGACGGAUGUGCGAGUAAUAUUCAUCACGCUCUACUCGCUGGUGUUUUGCUGCUGUUUCUUCGGAAACCUGCUCGUAAUUCUCGUGGUGACACUCUCCAGAAGGUUGCGCUCGAUAACCAACUUCUUCCUCGCGAACCUGGCCGUAGCUGACCUGUGCGUGGGGGUGUUUUGCGUGAUGCAGAACCUCACCAUCUACCUGAUCGAAAGCUGGGUGUUUGGAGACUUCCUGUGCAAGAUGUACCAGUUUGUGCAUUCGCUCAGCUACACCGCCUCGAUAUUCAUCCUGGUCGUCAUCUGCAUGGAGCGCUACUUCGCCAUCAUCCAUCCGAUCACGUGCAAGCAGAUCCUCACCUCGCGCCGCCUAAGGCUCGUGAUCGUUGCCGUUUGGAUAACGUCCGCCGUCUACUCCAUCCCGAAGUUUAUCUUCGUGCGCACCAUCACGAACAACCUGGGCGACGACCAGCUGGAAACGAUCUGCAUCGUCAACCGGAAAAUGUUCAACUCCGAGCUGUUCGACAUUAUCAACUUUGCCCUGCUGUACCUGCUUCCGCUGCUGGUUAUGACGGUUCUGUACAGCCGAAUAGCGAUAGCGCUGUGGAAAAGCUCACGGGGGCUGGAGCGGCACAUCGCGCUGCAAAAUACGACCUCGUCAAGCUACUCGAGCAAUUUCCACCGGAAGCCGAGCAGCAAGUAUGACAAGCGAACCACAGGUGUCACCGAAAGCCAGGUGUCGGUAGAGUCGGACAAGGUGGUAGUAACAACGUGGCCGGCACAGAACAGCUUCCACCAACGGCACGGCACCCAGCUAACGCAGGUGUCCCACUCGUCCAACAACGUGCUACGGGCGCGCCGUGGUGUUAUUCGCAUGCUGAUGGUGGUGGUGCUAACGUUUGCCCUCUGCAACCUACCGUUUCAUGCCCGAAAGAUGUGGCAAUAUUGGUCCACCGACUACAAGGGUGAUUCCAACUUCAACGCACUCUUCACACCGCUCACCUUCCUGGUGACGUACUUCAACUCCGGCGUCAACCCGCUGCUGUACGCCUUCCUGAGCCGCAACUUUCGCAAAGGCAUGCGCGAGCUGUUGCUGUGUUCCUUCAAGAAGAACAAAAACAAAUCGCUCAACCAGCGUAUCCCGCUGCACCGACCACGAUCCGUCCUAGUGCUGCUGCGACAUGCCAUGCUAUGCUGGGCCACGGACAAACCGACCGUCUCCCUGGCGACGCAUUGCCCUUCGCCGACUACCCGCUCGCUCGAUGGCGUCGACGAGCGGAUGCUGUGAUGGGAGCACCGGUCAAGGAUGAGAUGAGUCGGCGAAACUGAAUGUGUCAGGCCAAAGCCAGGAAGCGGUUGGAGUAGGAAUCAGCUCUGACUCGGUUCGGUUGGUUCGUUGUCUUGCUCGCAUAGAAGCAUCACGCUCGAAAGUUGCUCGAACCGCUUGGUUAGGGUGUCUGAUGCCGUGCUAAACCCAUGAAAGAGACCGAGCUAAAAACAGAACGGAACCAUUCCUUACCGACCGAUUCGACCCAUGUAGGAUUUCCCCAAUGAUGCCACGACCUGAUCGACCGCGGGUGCUGCAGUCGGUGCGUCGGCAGCGGCCGGGACACGGGUAGGGCCAGCCGCCCCCGCCGCCGCCGAGAGCACCGCUAACGCACCCGGCACCACUGGCACCCGGUCGCGGGUGCACCGCUUCCGUCAGCAUCCGCUCUUCCGGCGCAACGAGCUGCUAUUUCGCCGCACGAACGAGCUGGUAAGCAACGGGGACGAGGACGACGACGAGGACGAUGAGGACGAUCUGAACGAACCGGCAACGACGCUGUCCACCGCAACGAUGGCUCCACCGCUGACGGUAAGCGUCAUCGAGCUGGGCAGUGGACGGUAAAGCGGUUUGUCAUCAUCGCGACGUCCACGACUGUGUUACAAACAGUAUUCUAUGUUAUUUCCCAUCGACAUCGAAAGCGAAGCGUUGCUCAAGCGUGGCGCACAACGAAAGCUUAACAAUUAAAGAGAUCCCAGAGUCAGAUGAGUGUCAAUCAAUAGAGCAAGCGAUUGAGUGCGAGGAAGAAGGCAAGCAGGCCAGGUUCAAUUUCACACCACAACGAAACGUAUGCCAAUUUGUAUAGCGUACUCGCGUCCAAAAGUUGUUUUUCCUCCCCAAUCCUAUUGGUAUGUGUGUGCGUGAUUGGUUCCGAAUGGAAACUUUUGGCCCAAUUACGCCCAUGAUGACUGCUACUAGAUUCGCUUAUUGCCAUCCUUAUUUGCACACUCUUCCUGCUACUCGUGUCGUGGAAAGGGAGUGCCUGUGUGCUAGUGUGAGACAACAAAUGAUGCCAAAAUUGCAGACGAAAGAAAUGGGGCGAAGAGAGCAUUAAGUAGCUGCCGCCGAAUACUGGAAGCUGUUAGCACUGACAAUAGAAAGUUUCGCUUAAUAGCAAUGAUGUACUACCGUUUCCUCCGGCUGCUAGCGAGAUUUGCCGCCGAAUGCUGAAAGUUUGUUUUCCCCGCACCAUUUUUACCAAAGAACGUAUAGGGUUGAGCGAGUCACCAUUUCAAUACUACCACAGUAGAUCUUCAUAGCAGCGCAGAAUAGUGGUAAGCAUAGCCCCGCGGCGGCAGAAUGAAAUGCAGACAGAAACCAAUUAGGAAUCACGUACGGAACGGAACAUAUUUUUGUAAAAAAAGCAGAGCAAUGUGUUGAGAACAGACUGUUUGGUACGAUUUUUUUUUUUAGAUCAAUGAACUAUUUUCUGCUGGGGUUUGAAUAUUUGACUUGUAAAACUCUUUGUACGCUUUACAGUAGCGACUGUGGAAUUGAAUGUUUGUGGAGCUGCUUAGUUAGGAGGAGGAAUUAAAAUUUAAAAGCAAAUAUUUUGAGCCUAAAUUUAAGACCUAUUUUCGAGUACAAUGUAUUGAAUUGUUAUAUUUUUUUUACAAGUCUUUAUUUUUGGUACAGAAAAUUCAGUUUCAGAAAAUAAGUUCCACCAUUUUAAGAUUGUUCAUGGAACCAAUUUAUCAUUAAAAAACUGUAAUUACAAACAUUUAUUUCCUUUAAGUUUAUGUUACUUUGCCAUUAUAAAGAUCAACUGGUUGAACUUUUUUAACCUACAUUUUGUAGUUUUUAAUUAAACUGUGCUGAAACUUCACAUGUUUUAGUACAAUCAUUUUAAUUACAGACAAUAAAGAGAGCUAUGAUAUGAUAUGAUAUGAUAACUAUUUAUAUCCAUGAUUUUCAAAUAACUUCCUCAUGGUUUAGCCUCCUUUUGCUAAUGUUUGAUUUAGCAAACAUUUAAGUAAUCACAUAAACUAAUUGUGCUACGCUCUACGUAUAUUUCAUUUGCCCUCAAAUUAUUUCAAAUAACGAUACUGUGAUAAAGUACUGAACAAACGAUGGACGAAAGUGGCGCGGGAAUGGAACGAUGUUCAUGUAUACAUGUAUGAGAAAACCACUUGGCGACGCUGGAGAAACGGUUAAGCGAUGAAUCAAUUACAGUUCGUUUUCGUAUCGAAUCGAUUCCGAUUUUGCGAGAGAAAGAGAGAGAGAGAGAUGCAAACAGCGUGCACUGUAAACUGUAGAAAUACUGUAAAUCAAAGCAUAUUUUAAACCAGUAUCAUCCGCAUACGCAUUAGGACGUACUUAAACUCGUACCGAGCACGUGGGGAACAAACGCCCAGCCACGGUACUAGAGAGCAGGCGGAUGGAAGUUUGCCAAACAGGUCGAAUUGUUGAACAAUGAACUCUUCUAACGGAAAUGUUGUCGCUGAAGAUAAAGGUUAUAUUUAAAAAAAAAAGAAGUAUAUUUUUUCACACAUUAACCAUUACACCAGAGUUUGCUAAUGCGUUAGAUGAGAUAAGUACAUGAAUGGGGAGAAAAGCGGGAAAAAGCAUCGAUUGUUUAAGAAAAUGUUCCGGAUUCUUAAGAGCAGAGGCGAGAAAGAGUGUGGUGGGGACUAGAGAUUUUACGAGAGAUAGAACAAUUCGAAUUUUAAUUGUAGUUUCUACGAUUGGAGGUGAGGCGCGAGUGAGGCUCAAUGCAAAAUCAAAACCAGAAAGAAUUUAUUGUAUGCCCCAGGAAUAAGAUGAAUAAAAUUAUAGUGGUAAAGUAAACGUA
Anopheles coluzzii is the source of this 4897-nucleotide RNA transcript. It is a transcript of the gene named trissin receptor, with no coding region annotated. Lineage: Eukaryota; Metazoa; Arthropoda; Insecta; Diptera; Culicidae. The record is from RefSeq and is a predicted model, not a curated record. The transcript has 9 exons.